RNAcentral lists this non-coding RNA (769 nucleotides) under Tropidothorax sinensis. The record is from RNAcentral. Lineage: Eukaryota; Metazoa; Arthropoda; Insecta; Hemiptera; Lygaeidae.
UUUUAGAUUUACUUAGCUUUAAUAAAAGAAGGUUAGCUUUAAAUUGUUAUUUAUAUAUAAAUUUUAGUGCAAUUUUGCCUCUAAAUGAUUAAUUGUAUUAUGUAGUUUUUAAUUUUAGUUUUUAAAGGAAUUUAGAACUAGAUAAAUUUAUUAGGAGUGCAAAAAGUUGUGCCAGCAUGUGCGGUUAUACUUCUAGUUCAAGUUAACUUUAUUGAUUAUUAGAUUUUUAAUGUUAAUUUUUAAUUUAAAUUUAAAAAAUUAAGGUGAAAUUUAUUUUUUAAUUAAAUUUUGGUUUAAUUUAUAAUUUUAAAAUCAAUUUUUAAACUAGGAUUAGAUACCCUAUUAUUUUGAUUGUAAUAUUAUAUCAUAUUAUUAAUAGUUAUGUCUUUAAAAUAAAAAGGCUUGACGGUAAUUUAAUCUUUUUAGAGGAACCUGUCCAGUAAUUGAUAGUCCACGUUAUAUUUUACUUUAAUUUAGCUUGUAUACCUCUGUCAUAGUGAAUGUCUUAUAAGGGUAUUUUCUUUUUUAUUUUGAUAAUAAAUGUCAAGUCAAGGUGCAGCAAUAUUAAAGUUGAGAUGGGUUACAUUUUAUGUUAUAAUUGAAAACUUUUAAUUUAUAUUUAAGUGGAAAAUGGAUUUAAAAGUAAACAUUAUUUAUUUUAUAAUUUUGAUUUUAGCUCUAAAUUAUGUACAUAUCGCCCGUCACUCUCAUAAUUAAUAUGGGAUAAGUCGUAACAAAGUAAUUUUACUGGAAAGUGAGGUUAGAAUAU